RNAcentral lists this ribosomal RNA (456 nucleotides) under uncultured bacterium. Its description in RNAcentral is "bacterial SSU rRNA". It matches the Rfam family "Bacterial small subunit ribosomal RNA", at positions 923 to 1379 of the family's 1533-position model. The record is from RNAcentral.
GCACAAGCGGUGGAGCAUGUGGUUCAAUUCGACGCAACGCGAAGAACCUUACCUGGGCUCGAAAUGUAGUGGAAUCCGGCAGAAACGUCGGCGUCUAGCAAUAGACCGCUAUAUAGGUGCUGCAUGGCUGUCGUCAGCUCGUGUCGUGAGAUGUUGGGUUAAGUCCCGCAACGAGCGCAACCCUUAUCUUCAGUUGCUACCAUUUAGUUGAGCACUCUGACGAAACCGCCUCGGAUAACGGGGAGGAAGGUGGGGAUGACGUCAAGUCCUCAUGGCCUUUAUGUCCAGAGCUACACACGUGCUACAAUGGCCGGUACAAACCGCUGCAAACCCGCGAGGGGGAGCUAAUCGGAAAAAGCCGGCCUCAGUUCGGAUUGGAGUCUGCAACUCGACUCCAUGAAGCUGGAAUCGCUAGUAAUCGUGGAUCAGCAUGCCACGGUGAAUACGUUCCCGGGC